GCCGGGCAUGGUGGCGCAUGCCUGUAAUCCCAGCUACUCGGGAGGCUGAGGCAGAAGAAUCGCUUGAACCUGGGAGGCAGAGGUUGCAGUGAGCUGAGAUCACGCCACUGCGCUCCAGCCUGGGUGACAGAGCGAGACUUCGUCUCAA
Molecule: non-coding RNA, 148 nt
Filed under: Nomascus leucogenys (northern white-cheeked gibbon)
Lineage: Eukaryota; Metazoa; Chordata; Mammalia; Primates; Hylobatidae
Source: Rfam by way of RNAcentral